CUCGUAGGCGGUUCGUCGCGUCCGGUGUGAAAGUCCAUCGCUUAACGGUGGAUCCGCGCCGGGUACGGGCGGGCUUGAGUGCGGUAAGGGAGACUGGAAUUCCCGGUGUAACGGUGGAAUGUAUAGAUAUCGGGAAGAACACCAAUGGCGAAGGCAGGUCUCUGGGCCGUUACUGACGCUGAGGAGCGAAAGCGUGGGGAGCGAACA
Molecule: ribosomal RNA, 207 nt
Filed under: uncultured bacterium
Lineage: Bacteria
Description: partial 16S ribosomal RNA
Rfam family: Bacterial small subunit ribosomal RNA
Source: RNAcentral